CGCGUAGGCGGCUUGGCAAGUCAGAUGUGAAAUCCCCGAGCUCAACUUGGGAAUUGCAUCUGAAACUGUCGAGCUUGAGUCCUGGAGGGGAUAGUGGAAUUCCCAGUGUAGCGGUGAAAUGCGUAGAUAUUGGGAGGAACACCUGUGGCGAAGGCGGCUAUCUGGACAGUGACUGACGCUGAGGCGCGAAAGCUAGGGGAGCGAACG
RNAcentral lists this ribosomal RNA (207 nucleotides) under uncultured bacterium. RNAcentral's name for it is "partial 16S ribosomal RNA". It matches the Rfam family "Bacterial small subunit ribosomal RNA", at positions 568 to 774 of the family's 1533-position model. The record is from RNAcentral.